Molecule: ribosomal RNA, 486 nt
Filed under: uncultured Acidimicrobiaceae bacterium
Lineage: Bacteria; Bacillati; Actinomycetota; Acidimicrobiia; Acidimicrobiales; Acidimicrobiaceae
Description: partial 16S ribosomal RNA
Source: RNAcentral
CACGUAGUUGGCCGGGGCUUCUUCUGCAGGUACCGUCACAAUCGUCCCUGCUGAAAGAGGUUUACAACUCAGAAAGCCUUCGUCCCUCACGCGGCGUUGCUGCAUCAGGCUUUCGCCCAUUGUGCAAGAUUCCCCACUGCUGCCUCCCGUAGGAGUCUGGGCCGUGUCUCAGUCCCAGUGUGGCUGAUCGUCCUCUCAGACCAGCUACCCGUCGAAGCCUUGGUGAGCCGUUACCUCACCAACUAGCUGAUAGGCCGCGAGCCCCUCCGAAGCGGAAUCCAUUUCCUCACCAAGCCAUGCGACUCGGUGGGGAUAUCCGGUAUUAGCACCGGUUUCCCGGUGUUGUCCCGGUCUUCGGGGCAGGUUGCUCACGUGCUACUCACCCGUUCGCCACUUGAUCUUCACCAGUAUUGCUACCGGAUGGACCUGUUCGACUUGCAUGUGUUAGGCACGCCGCCAGCGUUGUCUGAGCCAGGAUCAAACUCU